RNAcentral lists this long non-coding RNA (717 nucleotides) under Fukomys damarensis (Damara mole-rat). RNAcentral's name for it is "lncRNA (ENSFDAG00000029573.1)". Lineage: Eukaryota; Metazoa; Chordata; Mammalia; Rodentia; Bathyergidae. The record is from RNAcentral.
CUAUAAAUAGAGGCAGAGAGUGUGUGCACUGGGGACUUAGUCCCUGAUCGCGGUUUUCGAACGUGGGUGAUGAGUUCUUUGCUCUGCUCAGUUACUCGGGAGGUGCCUGAAUGUGUGGGGGUGGGAGCGUGGGAGGGGGCUGCCUCCUCUCUCCAUCCCUCGAGCUCUGCCCUCCUUUCUCCUCUCCGUCCCCCCUCAAGGCUCCUCUCCUCCCUUUCCCCCUUCUCUCUGUCUCUCCGUCAGCAUCCCCCCACCCUCUUUCUUCCUCUCCCGUCCGCUUUCUCCUCCCUCUCUCCCCCUCCCGCUCUUUUCUCCCUCUCCCUCCAAGUCUGGCACUGAACGAACUGUUUUGCUUUGCUCCGGGAAGAGUGCAGACACAUAACGUGAAAUCCCGAGCUUUUUGCGUGGUGCAUUUGAGAUGCUUCCUUAUUUAUAUUACCCUCAUUCCCUCACCUCUCCCACCCGCUCAGCAGUCCUUCCAAAUUUCCCUAGAAAUCUGUGUAAAGCAUGCGGAGGGGAAAACAUUUGCACAAAAAGUGAAGGAGCUCGCCAAGGAGUUCCCGUCUAGGUGGUCAACUUGUCCUACACCCAGAGGUCUGCCGAAGGGGUGGCCAUGCCCAGAGGUCACAGAAGCCUGGACCAAUGAGCUCAGCAGUCCCAGGUGAGUGCACAGAGACUCAGCCCCUGGCCUCUUUGCCUGGGCAGCCUCGAAGGGCC